CACUCAUACGCCAUCUUUGAACCCCCAAGACCCGCGCUUAGUUCGAAUUUCCUCUUGCUCUUCCCAUUAAAAAGGCGCUGUCAUGGGGUGGUGCAUGGCGUAUGGCUGUAAAACUGGACAUAAGAACAAACAAGAGGACACAGGUCAACCUCUCACAGGAAGUGGAAAGUGUGAUUGGCUGACCUCUUCCUCAUCCUCAGGGGUGCUGGCACCACCAAAUGUUCAGCACAACAUUGAUUUUGGCUCAACACUUUGUGAUCUUGAGAAAUGUACACCCAAGUCAUCUUGCUUAUUGAACUGCACAAUAAAAUCCUGGUAUUUAAAGUUAUGUCCACUGCACUUGGCUGACACUGAGUACCCUUGAGGGUAGCUGGCUGACUGCUGCAGCCAUCAUGCAUACAUGUGAUGAUUGGGUGAAAAUAAUUUACAUAUUAGCCAGAAGUAAAUGAUGUUCAAUGACAUCCUAAUAUGUCAUCAAAAAGACAGCUCUUGUUAGCAGAACAACAGAGAUACAAGAGGGCACACUGGAAACCAACGUAUUAACACAAGCUCUACUGAUUGAGCCACCGCACGAUUGGGAGAAUGGUGCAGAGCUUGCUGAACUUAGAAAAAAUCCAAGAUGCAGCACAAUCUAGUUGUUACAGCCAUGUCAGAGUUGUCCCCAAAAAGAUUUUUACACUUACAGCAAGGCUGCAGUGUGACCUACAUAAUGUGCAAGUUUUGUGACAUGGACUCAUUAUAAGGAAUAACCGAGUGUGGGUGGAUGUUUUCAAGCUGAUGACAGCAAAGGGUUACUUCCCAUGCUGCUCAAAAUGAAGGCAUUGGAAAGAUGUACAUGAAGGGAUGCAAUAAAUCAAAAGUAACCAAU
Molecule: long non-coding RNA, 868 nt
Organism: Scylla paramamosain (green mud crab)
Lineage: Eukaryota; Metazoa; Arthropoda; Malacostraca; Decapoda; Portunidae
Exons: 2
Source: RefSeq, a predicted model, not a curated record